CCCGCCGCCCCCCCCCGAGAGUUUGAUGCAUGGCCUCAGAAGUGAACGCUGGCGGCCAUGCUUAACACAUAGCCAAGUCCACGCCCAGCUAUGGGAGUGGCGGACGGGUGAGUAACCGUAGGAACGUAUCCCAGGUGGGGGACAACCCCGGGAAACUGGGGCUAAUACCGCAUAUGUCCUUCGAGGGACAAAGCAGUGAUGCGCCUUUGGAGCAGGCCUGCAGUCCGAUUAGGUAGUUGGUGGGGUAAAUGGCCUACCCAAGCCUGCGAUCUGUAGCUGGUCUGAGAGGACGAUCAGCCACACUGGGACUGAGACACGGCCCAAUACUCCUACGGGAAGGCAGCAGUGGGGAAUAUUGGACAAUGGGCGCAAGCCUGAUCCAGCAAUGCCGCGUGUGUGAAGAAGGUCUUCGGAUCGUAAAGCACUUUCACAGGGACGAUGAUGACGGUUACCUGUAGAAGAAGCCCCGGUCUAACUUCGUGCCAGCAGCCGCGGUAAUACGAAAGGGGGCUAGCGUUGCUCGGAAUUACUGGGCGUAAAGGGCGCGUAGGCGGACAGUUUAGUCAGAGGUGAAAGCCCAGGGCUCAACCUUGGAAUUGCCUUUGAUACUGGCUGUCUUGAAGUUCGGGAGAGGCUGAGUGGAAUGCCGAGUGUAGAGGUGAAAUUCCGUAGAUAUUCGGACGGAACACCAGUGGUCGUAAGGCGAACCUCACUGGCUCCGAUACUGACGCUGAGGCGCGAAAGCCUGUGUGGGAGCAAACAGGAUUAGAUACCCUGGUAGUCCACUGCUGUAAACGAUGAGUUCAGCUAGUUGUCGGCAUGCAUGCAUGUCUUGGUGACGCAGCUAACGCAUUAAGCACUCCGCCUGGGGAGUACGGUCGCAAGAUUAAAAUCUCA
This 897-nucleotide ribosomal RNA is filed under the name uncultured bacterium. RNAcentral describes it as "bacterial SSU rRNA". It matches the Rfam family "Bacterial small subunit ribosomal RNA", at positions 1 to 903 of the family's 1533-position model. The record is from RNAcentral.